AGAGUUUGAUCAUGGCUCAGGAUAAACGCUGGCGGCGCACAUAAGACAUGCAAGUCGAACGGACUUAAUCUUAAUAUUUAUAUUGAGAAGCGGUUAGUGGCGGACUGGUGAGUAACGCGUAAGCAAUCUGCCUAUUAGAGGGGAAUAACAGUGAGAAAUCAUUGCUAAUACCGCAUAUGCCAUAAGAACCACAUGGUUCUAGUGGGAAAGGAGUAAUCCGCUAAUAGAUGAGCUUGCGUCUGAUUAGCUAGUUGGUGUGGUAAUGGCACACCAAGGCAACGAUCAGUAGCCGGACUGAGAGGUUGAACGGCCACAUUGGGACUGAGAUACGGCCCAGACUCCUACGGGAGGCAGCAGUCGGGAAUAUUGCGCAAUGGAGGAAACUCUGACGCAGUGACGCCGCGUAUAGGAAGAAGGUUUUCGGAUUGUAAACUAUUGUCGUUAGGGAAGAUAAAAGACAGUACCUAAGGAGGAAGCUCCGGCUAACUACGUGCCAGCAGCCGCGGUAAUACGUAGGGAGCAAGCGUUAUCCGGAUU
Molecule: ribosomal RNA, 537 nt
Filed under: uncultured bacterium
Lineage: Bacteria
Description: bacterial SSU rRNA
Rfam family: Bacterial small subunit ribosomal RNA
Source: RNAcentral